Molecule: ribosomal RNA, 253 nt
Filed under: uncultured bacterium
Lineage: Bacteria
Description: partial 16S ribosomal RNA
Rfam family: Bacterial small subunit ribosomal RNA
Source: RNAcentral
UACGUAGGGUGCAAGCGUUGUCCGGAAUUAUUGGGCGUAAAGAGCUCGUAGGCGGUUUGUUGCGUCGGCUGUGAAAUCCCGAGGCUCAACCUCGGGUCUGCAGUCGAUACGAGCAAACUAGAGUGUUGCAGGGGAGACUGGAAUUCCUGGUGUAGCGGUGAAAUGCGUAGAUAUUGGGAGGAACACCAGUGGCGAAGGCGGCUCACUGGACCGGUUCUGACGCUGAGGCGCGAAAGCGUGGGGAGCAAACGGG